CUGUUUUUUUUCUCUCUGUUUUAUCUCAAAGCCAUCAUCGCAUUGGCUUAUGUAACCCUCGCCCUCAAAGUGAUUUCAGUCCUAUGCAAUGUGUCAUUGCUAAUAUCCGUUGGCACGAAAAACAUUAAUUUGGCUGUGGUCUGGCUGGUGUGGAACGUUUUUGAUUUUGCAUACUCUGUUUUAGUGACAAGUUUCCUGUUGUCCGUCUUCGAUGUGUUUAUAUAUGCAGAUAUUGUGAUAAUCCUGUGGUGGUUGCUUACGGUAAGUU
Pocillopora damicornis (cauliflower coral) is the source of this 268-nucleotide long non-coding RNA. NCBI's taxonomy places the organism in Eukaryota, Metazoa, Cnidaria, Anthozoa, Scleractinia, Pocilloporidae. The record is from RefSeq and is a predicted model, not a curated record.